GUGAGGAAUUUUCCGCAAUGGGCGAAAGCCUGACGGAGCAAUGCCGCGUGAAGGAUGAAGGCCUAUGGGUUGUAAACUUCUUUUCUCAGAAAAGAAUUAUGACGGUAUCUGAGGAAUAAGCAUCGGCUAACUCUGUGCCAGCAGCCGCGGUAAGACAGAGGAUGCAAGCGUUAUCCGGAAUGAUUGGGCGUAAAGCGUCUGUAGGUUGUUUAAAAAGUAUUCUGUCAAAGAUUAGGGCUUAACCCUAGAUAGGCAGAAUAAACUUUUAAGAUAGAGGUUGGUAGAGGCAGAGGGAAUUCCCGGUGGAGCGGUGAAAUGCGUAGAUAUCGGGAGGAACACCAAAGGCGAAGGCACUCGGCUGGGCCAAUACUAACACUGAGAGACGAAAGCGAGGGGAGCAAAUGGGAUUAGAAACCCGGGUAUCC
RNAcentral lists this ribosomal RNA (425 nucleotides) under uncultured bacterium. Its description in RNAcentral is "partial 16S ribosomal RNA". It matches the Rfam family "Bacterial small subunit ribosomal RNA", at positions 354 to 795 of the family's 1533-position model. The record is from RNAcentral.